This 29-nucleotide small RNA is filed under the name Bombyx mori (domestic silkworm). RNAcentral's name for it is "piRNA piR-bmo-1346908". Lineage: Eukaryota; Metazoa; Arthropoda; Insecta; Lepidoptera; Bombycidae. The record is from RNAcentral.
UUCAUUCGAUCGGUGGCGUUCGUGAGAGA